CAAAAAUAAAUAAACAUUUAAAAAAAAUUUUUUUUAAAUAGAAGAAGAAAGAGAGAUUCCUGAUACAUGUGUGAGGGAAAGUGGAGAGAGAACCACGUGGCCAAAUUGCAAAAUUUUCCACAUUAGCUUUGCUGACCUUACACAUUCAACUCUGGUUAUUUUACCAGCAAAAGAUGGGUUUAUUCGAGAAUGGCGGAGAAUUACAAUCCGGGACAAGCAAGAGCAAAGGAGCGCUUCGUGGCAGGAAAGCAACAGCAAGAGAAAGAAGAAAAGAGGGGGCGAGGUAGGGUCCGAUCAACGUCACAUCUCAGGCCCACGGAGGCAGGAAACCGGAAAGAGGCCAACCCGCCAUCGUGGCUGUAGAUGUGGCCCAAGCCACAACGCGGCCUCUGCCCAGUUGGAUCUCAGCCCCUUCCUCUAGGAGAACAGCAGGACGGAACUAGAAGAAGGACAUUCCUCCCCAGUCUCCAGCCGGCUCCCCCUCACGUAGCACACAUUGCAAAUUAUAUUCACAGUGUCAAAGAACAAGGAAGAGGCCGCCUCACGAGGACUGUAUGGAAGAGAUUUCACGUCAAUUUCAACAGCAGGUUUAUGUUGCUACCUGCCUUAUUUCCGGACAGACCCCUUUCCCAUCUUUUCAAGACAGGACGGGUUUCUCAUCUGUGAGACAGGUAAUAACCAUGGGUCACAGCCGCUCACCGGACGGGCACGCAGAACAUCAGAAACGCUCCUCGGGGUCGGGAAACACCACGUCUCAGCCUUCGGAGGUGAGCUCGGGGAGACGUGGGGCGCAGCGGCCCGGCCUCCCCGGUGCUUCAGCUCCAACGGACCAAGGACACUGUUUUCCCCAAGGAGACCGUUUUUGUUUUUCUUUCCAUGGAAAAGAAAAGUCAGUUAUGGAUGGGAUGGGAAACUCACUUUAUAAACUAAAGAUCGCUUUUAUCUCCUGAAACUUAGCUUCUGAAUAAGAUUCUUUUCUACUUUUA
Molecule: long non-coding RNA, 986 nt
Organism: Felis catus (domestic cat)
Lineage: Eukaryota; Metazoa; Chordata; Mammalia; Carnivora; Felidae
Exons: 2
Source: RefSeq, a predicted model, not a curated record